Molecule: non-coding RNA, 397 nt
Filed under: Vitis vinifera (wine grape)
Lineage: Eukaryota; Viridiplantae; Streptophyta; Magnoliopsida; Vitales; Vitaceae
Description: Bacterial large subunit ribosomal RNA
Rfam family: Bacterial large subunit ribosomal RNA
Source: Rfam by way of RNAcentral
UGAUUAUGAAGGGCAUAGUAAACAACAAAAUGCUUCGAGGAGUUGAAAAUAAGCACAAAUCUAGAGAUUCUGAAUGGGUCAACCUUUUGAACUACUGCAAAAUCCAUGGGCAGGCAAGAGACAACUUUGCAAACCGAAACAUCCCAGUAGUCAAAGAAAAAGAAAGCAAAAGUGAUUCCCGUUGUAGCGGCAAGCGAAAUGGGAGUAGCCUCAACUUUGAAAACAAGAUUGUGGGAAAGUAAUACAAGCAUCAUGCUGCUAGGCAAAGGGGCAGAAUGUUGUACUCUAGUCCUUAGAUAGCAAGAGUCUAGUAUUUAAAAGCAUCACUAGCUUAUGCUCUGACCCAAGUAGCAUGGGGCACGUGGAAUCCCGUGUGAAUCAACAAGUAUAUAUAUAU